AAUUUUUGCUUCGGUUGUCUGAGAGAGUUUGUGUGAAGUUAGAAUUCUGAGGUAGUUAAGUGUUAGUGGGUUAGUUAGUAGGAUAAUGGGGGUUGAGAUUUAGUAUGAUAUGAAUUUAUUUUUUAACUUUAAUUUUCUUUUUUUGUUUUUCACUUUGUUCUCUCUUCCCAACAAAAUUCUAACGUUAGUUUUCCUUUUCUCUGCAUAUUUCAGGUCAAUUGACAAAUUCUUAUUUCCUCGCUCUCUAUUUUCUGUCACAAUUUUUUUAUUCAAUUUCAGUAUUCUGGUUC
RNAcentral lists this long non-coding RNA (290 nucleotides) under Gossypium raimondii (Peruvian cotton). Its description in RNAcentral is "long non-coding RNA (GRAI_LNC003963)". Lineage: Eukaryota; Viridiplantae; Streptophyta; Magnoliopsida; Malvales; Malvaceae. The record is from RNAcentral.